RNAcentral lists this ribosomal RNA (851 nucleotides) under Salmonella enterica subsp. enterica. RNAcentral's name for it is "partial 23S ribosomal RNA". It matches the Rfam family "Bacterial large subunit ribosomal RNA", at positions 566 to 1269 of the family's 2925-position model. Lineage: Bacteria; Pseudomonadati; Pseudomonadota; Gammaproteobacteria; Enterobacterales; Enterobacteriaceae. The record is from RNAcentral.
CUCCACAUCCGCAUCCUUUGCUGAGGAUACGGUUAACGGAGCGAAAGCGACGUUCAACCGCAAAACAAGCAGAGGGGGCUUAGUGGUGGGGUGACUGCGUACCUUUUGUAUAAUGGGUCAGCGACUUAUAUUCUGUAGCAAGGUUAACCGAAUAGGGGAGCCGGAGGGAAACCGAGUCUUAAUUGGGCGUUAAGUUGCAGGGUAUAGACCCGAAACCCGGUGAUCUAGCCAUGGGCAGGUUGAAGGUUGGGUAACACUAACUGGAGGACCGAACCGACUAAUGUUGAAAAAUUAGCGGAUGACCUGUGGCUGGGGGUGAAAGGCCAAUCAAACCGGGAGAUAGCUGGUUCUCCCCGAAAGCUAUUUAGGUAGCGCCUCGUGAAUUCAUCUCCGGGGGUAGAGCACUGUUUCGGCUAGGGGGCCAUCCCGGCUUACCAACCCGAUGCAAACUGCGAAUACCGGAGAAUGUUAUCACGGGAGACACACGGCGGGUGCUAACGUCCGUCGUGAAGAGGGAAACAACCCAGACCGCCAGCUAAGGUCCCAAAGUCAUGGUUAAGUGGGAAACGAUGUGGGAAGGCCCAGACAGCCAGGAUGUUGGCUUAGAAGCAGCCAUCAUUUAAAGAAAGCGUAAUAGCUCACUGGUCGAGUCGGCCUGCGCGGAAGAUGUAACGGGGCUAAACCAUGCACCGAAGCUGCGGCAGCGAACGUAUCACCCAAGACAACUUUACGGAGUUGACGAUUGACGGAGCGAAGCGACGUCAAAGCGUUCAUUAAAGUCGAGUUGGCUUAGGGAUACGUUCGUUGGGUAGGGGAGCGUUCUGUAAGCCUGUGAAGGUGUGUCGUGAGGC